This 517-nucleotide ribosomal RNA is filed under the name uncultured bacterium. Its description in RNAcentral is "bacterial SSU rRNA". It matches the Rfam family "Bacterial small subunit ribosomal RNA", at positions 29 to 518 of the family's 1533-position model. The record is from RNAcentral.
ACGAACGCUGGCGGCGUGCCUAAUACAUGCAAGUCGAACGGUCUUUCUAUGGAAGCUUGCUUCCACUGAGAAGAUAGUGGCGAACGGGUGAGUAACACGUGGGUAACCUGCCCAUAAGAGGGGGAUAGCAUCCGGAAACGGGUGCUAAUACCGCAUAGUUUUCUUGAUUGCAUGAUUGAGAAAGGAAAGACGGCCUUUGUGCUGUCGCUUAUGGAUGGACCCGCGGCGUAUUAGUUAGUUGGUGAGGUAACGGCUCACCAAGACGAUGAUACGUAGCCGACCUGAGAGGGUGAUCGGCCACAUUGGGACUGAGACACGGCCCAAACUCCUACGGGAGGCAGCAGUAGGGAAUCUUCCGCAAUGGACGAAAGUCUGACGGAGCAACGCCGCGUGAGUGAAGAAAAGGUUUUCGGAUCGUAAAACUCUGUUGUCAGGGAAGAACAAGUUGGAGAGUAACUGCUCCAGCCUUGACGGUAUCUGACCAGAAAGCCACGGCUAACUACGUGCCAGCAGCGGC